This 274-nucleotide ribosomal RNA is filed under the name uncultured bacterium. RNAcentral describes it as "partial 16S ribosomal RNA". It matches the Rfam family "Bacterial small subunit ribosomal RNA", at positions 523 to 796 of the family's 1533-position model. The record is from RNAcentral.
AUUCGGAGGGUGCAAGCGUUACUCGGAAUUACUGGGCGUAAAGGACGCGUAGGCUGGUUUGCAAGUCAGGGGUGAAAGCCUACAGCUUAACUGUAGAACUGCUCUUGAAACUGCUUACCUAGAGUAUGGGAGAGGUGAAAGGAAUUAGUGGUGUAGGGGUAAAAUCCGUAGAGAUCACUAGGAAUACCGAUUGCGAAGGCGUUUCACUGGAACAUUACUGACGCUGAGGCGUGAAAGCGUGGGGAGCAAACAGGAUUAGAAACCCUAGUAGUCC